Molecule: ribosomal RNA, 406 nt
Filed under: uncultured Glomeromycotina
Lineage: Eukaryota; Fungi; Glomeromycota
Description: SSU rRNA
Rfam family: Eukaryotic small subunit ribosomal RNA
Source: RNAcentral
CGGACUGAUUCUAUUUCGUUGGUUUCUAGGAUCACCGUAAUGAUUAAUAGGGAUAGUUGGGGGCAUUAGUAUUCAAUUGUCAGAGGUGAAAUUCUUGGAUUUAUUGAAGACUAACUACUGCGAAAGCAUUUGCCAAGGAUGUUUUCAUUAAUCAAGAACGAAAGUUAGGGGAUCGAAGACGAUCAGAUACCGUCGUAGUCUUAACCAUAAACUAUGCCGACUAGGGAUCGGACGAAGUUAAUUUUAUAAUGACGCGUUCGGCACCUUACGGGAAACCAAAGUGUUUGGGUUCCGGGGGGAGUAUGGUCGCAAGGCUGAAACUUAAAGGAAUUGACGGAAGGGCACCACCAGGGGUGGAGCCUGCGGCUUAAUUUGACGCAACACGGGGAAACUCACCAGGUCCAGA